AGGAAUAUAGUUUAAAAAACAACAUUUGAAUUGCAAUCAAAAAAUAUUAUAAAUAAUUAUUCUUA
Molecule: transfer RNA, 65 nt
Filed under: Neotrogla sp. 5 KY-2017
Lineage: Eukaryota; Metazoa; Arthropoda; Insecta; Psocodea; Prionoglarididae
Description: tRNA-Ala
Source: RNAcentral